AGAUACUCUCAAGAGAAGUGUAGUAUACUCUCUUUAUUUGUGAGAAGAAGUUUAACCACUCCAAUAUUUUAUCCAUUUAUUUUUUAUUUUACCACCUCCUUGAGAGGUGCAUUAUCAUCAUUAAAAAAUGGGAGAAUAUGGAUCCACGUAAUUGCAGGUACAACUGUCUGCAACUAUUAAACGAUACUAUUGGUUUCGAUGAUGACGACUCCUUAUCUUAAAU
RNAcentral lists this long non-coding RNA (223 nucleotides) under Lathyrus oleraceus (garden pea). Its description in RNAcentral is "Pisum sativum (pea) long non-coding RNA (PSAT_LNC001126)". Lineage: Eukaryota; Viridiplantae; Streptophyta; Magnoliopsida; Fabales; Fabaceae. The record is from RNAcentral.